RNAcentral lists this ribosomal RNA (460 nucleotides) under uncultured bacterium. RNAcentral's name for it is "bacterial SSU rRNA". It matches the Rfam family "Bacterial small subunit ribosomal RNA", at positions 29 to 534 of the family's 1533-position model. The record is from RNAcentral.
AACGAACGCUGGCGGCAUGCCUAACACAUGCAAGUCGAACGAGACCUUCGGGUCUAGUGGCGCACGGGUGCGUAACGCGUGGGAAUCUGCCCUUGGGUUCGGAAUAACAGUUGGAAACGACUGCUAAUACCGGAUGAUGACGUAAGUCCAAAGAUUUAUCGCCCAAGGAUGAGCCCGCGUAGGAUUAGCUAGUUGGUGAGGUAAAGGCUCACCAAGGCGACGAUCCUUAGCUGGUCUGAGAGGAUGAUCAGCCACACUGGGACUGAGACACGGCCCAGACUCCUACGGGAGGCAGCAGUGGGGAAUAUUGGACAAUGGGCGAAAGCCUGAUCCAGCAAUGCCGCGUGAGUGAUGAAGGCCUUAGGGUUGUAAAGCUCUUUUACCCGGGAUGAUAAUGACAGUACCGGGAGAAUAAGCUCCGGCUAACUCCGUGCCAGCAGCCGCGGUAAAGUGACUACUG